UUCUGGUUGAUCCUGCCAGACCUGACUGCUAUCGGAUUGAUACUAAGCCAUGCGAGUCAUUGUAGCAAUACAAGGCAUACGGCUCAGUAACGCGUAGUCAACCUAACCUAUGGACGGGAAUAACCUCGGGAAACUGAGAAUAAUGCCCGAUAGAACAUUAUACCUGGAAUGGUUUAUGUUCCAAAUGAUUUAUCGCCGUAGGAUGGGACUGCGGCCUAUCAGUUUGUUGGUGAGGUAAUGGCCCACCAAGACUAUUACAGGUACGGGCUCUGAGAGGAGUAGCCCGGAGAUGGGUACUGAGACACGGACCCAGGCCCUAUGGGGCGCAGCAGGCGAGAAAACUUUGCAAUGUGCGAAAGCACGACAAGGUUAAUCCGAGUGAUUUCUGCUAAAGAAAUCUUUUGUUAGUCCUAGAAACACUAACGAAUAAGGGGUGGGCAAGUUCUGGUGUCAGCCGCCGCGGUAAAACCAGCACCUCAAGUGGUCAGGAUGAUUAUUGGGCCUAAAGCAUCCGUAGCCGGCUCUGUAAGUUUUCGGUUAAAUCUGUACGCUUAACGUACAGGCCGCCGGGAAUACUGCAAAGCUAGGGAGUGGGAGAAGUAGACGGUACUCGGUAGGAAGUGGUAAAAUGCUUUGAUCUAUCGAUGACCACCUGUGGCGAAGGCGGUCUACUAGAACACGUCCGACGGUGAGGGAUGAAAGCUGGGGGAGCAAACCGGAUUAGAUACCCGGGUAGUCCCAGCUGUAAACUAUGCAAACUCAGUGAUGCAUUGGCUUGUGGCCAAUGCAGUGCUGCAGGGAAGCCGUUAAGUUUGCCGCCUGGGAAGUACGUACGCAAGUAUGAAACUUAAAGGAAUUGGCGGGGGAGCACCACAAGGGGUGAAGCCUGCGGUUCAAUUGG
RNAcentral lists this ribosomal RNA (901 nucleotides) under uncultured archaeon. RNAcentral describes it as "bacterial SSU rRNA". It matches the Rfam family "Archaeal small subunit ribosomal RNA", at positions 1 to 909 of the family's 1478-position model. The record is from RNAcentral.